AACGAACGCUGGCGGCAUGCCUAACACAUGCAAGUCGAACGAGACCUUCGGGUCUAGUGGCGCACGGGUGCGUAACGCGUGGGAACCUGCCCUUAGGUUCGGAAUAACUCCCCGAAAGGGGUGCUAAUACCGGAUAAUGUCUUCGGACCAAAGAUUUAUCGCCUUUGGAUGGGCCCGCGUUGGAUUAGCUAGUUGGUAGGGUAAAAGCCUACCAAGGCGACGAUCCAUAGCUGGUCUGAGAGGAUGAUCAGCCACACUGGGACUGAGACACGGCCCAGACUCCUACGGGAGGCAGCAGUAGGGGAUAUUGCACAAUGGGCGAAAGCCUGAUCCAGCAAUGCCGCGUGAGUGAUGAAGGCCUGAGGGUUGUAAAGCUCUUUUACCCGGGAUGAUAAUGACAGUACCGGGAGAAUAAGCUCCGGCUAACUCCGUG
Molecule: ribosomal RNA, 433 nt
Filed under: uncultured bacterium
Lineage: Bacteria
Description: partial 16S ribosomal RNA
Rfam family: Bacterial small subunit ribosomal RNA
Source: RNAcentral